GACGAAGGGGGCUAGCGUUGUUCGGAAUUACUGGGCGUAAAGCGCACGUAGGCGGCCUUCCAAGUCAGGAGUGAAAGCCCCGGGCUCAACCCGGGAAUUGCUCUUGAUACUGGAAGGCUUGAGGCCGGGAGAGGAUAGUGGAAUUCCCAGUGUAGAGGUGAAAUUCGUAGAUAUUGGGAAGAACACCAGUGGCGAAGGCGGCUAUCUGGACCGGUACUGACGCUGAGGUGCGAAAGCGUGGGGAGCAAAC
Molecule: ribosomal RNA, 250 nt
Filed under: uncultured bacterium
Lineage: Bacteria
Description: partial 16S ribosomal RNA
Rfam family: Bacterial small subunit ribosomal RNA
Source: RNAcentral